CGGUUUCCAGCGACGGCGCAUUUUGAUUGCUGCUGAAUCUCGCUGACGAGCGGCGGACGGGUGAGUAACGCGUAGGAAUCUACCUAGAGAGGGGAUAGCCCGGGAAACUCGGAUUAAUACCGUAUACGUCCUUAGGGAGAAAGAGGGCUUACUUUGAUGCUCUCGCUAUUAAUGACCUGCGUAAAUUAGUUGUGGUGAGGUAAAGGCUCCCAGGCUACAUUUUACUGGUCUGAAGGACGAUCACCUUGGGACUGAACACGCCCAACUCCUACGGGAGGCAGCAGGGGAAUAUUGGACAAGGGCGCAAGCCUGAUCCACCAUACCGCGUGGUAAAAGGCCUUCGGGUUGUAAAGCACUUUAAGUAAGGAAAAAAGUAUAUUGUUAAUACCAAUGUACCGUGACAUUACUUACAAAUAAGGACCGGUAAUUCCGUGCCAGCACCGCGGUAAUACGGAAGGUCCAAGCGUUAAUCGGAAUUACUGGGCGUAAAGCGCGCGUAGGUGGUUUAUUAAGUUGGGUGUGAAAGCCCCGGGCUCAACCUGGGAACUGCAUCCAAAACUGAUUCACUAGAGUACGAAAGAGGGAGGUAGAAUUCACAGUGUAGCGGUGGAAUGCGUAAUAUUGUGAAGAAUACCAAUGGCGAAGGCAGCCUCCUGGUUCUGUACUGACACUGAGGUGCGAAAGCGUGGUAGCGAACAGGAUUAGAUACCCUGGUAGUCCACGCCGUAAACGAUGACAACCAGCUGUUGGGAAGCAAUGCUUUUUCAGUGGCGCACUAACGUCUUAAGUUGUCCGCCUGGGGAGUACGGCCGCAAGGUAAAACUCAAAUGAAUUGACGGGGACCCGCACAAGCGGUGGAGCAUGUGGUUUAAUUCGAUGCAGCGAAAACUACCUACUCUUGACAUCCUUGGAUCUCUUGUAUGAGAGAGUGCCUUUCCAGUGACAGGCUGCAUGUGUCGUCAGCUCGUGUCUGAGAUGUCUUAACGAGCCAUCUCUUAUUGCGCGCGUGGUGCGGUAACGAGAAAACA
Molecule: ribosomal RNA, 1028 nt
Filed under: uncultured Gammaproteobacteria bacterium
Lineage: Bacteria; Pseudomonadati; Pseudomonadota; Gammaproteobacteria
Description: bacterial SSU rRNA
Rfam family: Bacterial small subunit ribosomal RNA
Source: RNAcentral